AUAUCUAUCCCCCGCGCUAUCUCCCCCAUUUUCUCGCGGGCCGUUCAGGUUCCCGUCCUGCUGGCUCCGAGGACCCUCCCGCCCCAGCGCCCUCGCCCCGUCCUCGCCUCCCUCCGCCCCGGAGCGCGCACCCACCCGGGCGGCAAAGUUGUGACUACUUGGGCGCGGGUGGCUCGCGCCCCGCUCGCUCCGCGCCUCGCACCAACUUCCCGCGGUUCGGCCCCGCCGCGCCCCGAGCCCGCGCCUCCGGGGAUCCCGCGGGCCCCCAGCUUCCAGCCCCGGCGGCGCGCCGGGCAGCGCUUCGGUGGCGGCGGCGGCGGCGCAGGCGGUGGCGGCGGCGGCGGCGGCGGCGGCGGCGGCGGCGGCUGCAGCCCCACACUCAGCCGCCAAACUGGAGGAGCGACGGAAGCCGGACCCGAGGAGGUGAGCGCCCGGCCGGGGCCGGGGAGGGAGGGUCGGCCGACUCCCCCGCCUCCCGGCGGCGGCGGGCGCUGGGGCGGCGGGGGCCCGGGGCAGGUCUCGGAGGGGGCUCAGGCGGCCUCUGGCGCGCGCCGGGAGGGAGAGAGAGGUCAGUUGCGGGCCGGGCAUCCCGGGGCUGGGCGCUGGCGGAGUGUGCAAGCCGAGGACGCGGAAAAGUACUUUUUUUCUUCUUCGCGUUUAGAGGAAGAGUUUGGGUGGUCCUGUUUCUCCCCCACUGUAAAGCCCUCAGCUCGUAACCCGGCGUUGCCGCCCGGACUGGGGGGCCACUGUACCCCGCGGGCUGGGCUCCGGCGCAGUGACACGUGUGUUCCUGUGAGCCUGGGUGGCCCCAGUGUGGCUGGGCACCUGCUUGAGAGGGUAACGUCCCCAAACCCACUAGCGGGGGAGGCUUGGGGGGGGGAACUUAAGGUGCCGCCGAGACCGCGGCCCCCACUUCACUGCCAGCUCCGAGAUGGAGCAUUCACAUCUUUCCCUGGCACGUCGAAAGCGGGGGUGAGUCAGGCAGAUUCUCUGCAAGUGGCACACACACAAUUAUUUGCAAUGGAUUUGGAAAGGGUAGGCAGAGGUUAA
RNAcentral lists this long non-coding RNA (1050 nucleotides) under Delphinapterus leucas (beluga whale). Its description in RNAcentral is "lncRNA (ENSDLEG00000014591.1)". The record is from RNAcentral. Lineage: Eukaryota; Metazoa; Chordata; Mammalia; Artiodactyla; Monodontidae.